RNAcentral lists this ribosomal RNA (543 nucleotides) under Fusarium graminearum. RNAcentral describes it as "eukaryotic LSU rRNA". The stretch from base 187 to 340 matches the Rfam family "5.8S ribosomal RNA". Lineage: Eukaryota; Fungi; Ascomycota; Sordariomycetes; Hypocreales; Nectriaceae. The record is from RNAcentral.
ACUUAAUGUCUCCGUUGGUGACCAGCGGAGGGUCAUUACCGAGUUUACAACUCCCAAACCCCUGUGAACAUACCUUAUGUUGCCUCGGCGGAUCAGCCCGCGCCCCGUAAAAAGGGACGGCCCGCCGCAGGAACCCUAAACUCUGUUUUUAGUGGAACUUCUGAGUAUAAAAAACAAAUAAAUCAAAACUUUCAACAACGGAUCUCUUGGUUCUGGCAUCGAUGAAGAACGCAGCAAAAUGCGAUAAGUAAUGUGAAUUGCAGAAUUCAGUGAAUCAUCGAAUCUUUGAACGCACAUUGCGCCCGCCAGUAUUCUGGCGGGCAUGCCUGUUCGAGCGUCAUUUCAACCCUCAAGCCCAGCUUGGUGUUGGGAGCUGCAGUCCUGCUGCACUCCCCAAAUACAUUGGCGGUCACGUCGAGCUUCCAUAGCGUAGUAAUUUACACAUCGUUACUGGUAAUCGUCGCGGCCACGCCGUUAAACCCCAACUUCUGAAUGUUGACCUCGGAUCAGGUAGGAAUACCCGCUGAACUUAAGCAUAUCAAA